UUGUUUGCAGAUGUAGCAUCAUCAAGAUUCACAUGCAAAUGUACGGUGGUGAUGAUGCUAAACUAAUCUCUCUCUCCUUCUUUCUCAAUCUUUUCUGCGUCUCUCUUCUUCUUUGAAAGUGAGAAUCUUGAUGAUGCUGCAUCGGCAAUAAA
Jatropha curcas is the source of this 152-nucleotide non-coding RNA. The record is from Rfam. NCBI's taxonomy places the organism in Eukaryota, Viridiplantae, Streptophyta, Magnoliopsida, Malpighiales, Euphorbiaceae.